GCCGCGGUAAUACAGAGGGUGCAAGCGUUAAUCGGAAUUACUGGGCGUAAAGCGCGCGUAGGUGGUUCGUUAAGUUGGAUGUGAAAUCCCCGGGCUCAACCUGGGAACUGCAUUCAAAACUGACUGGCUAGAGUAUGGUAGAGGGUGGUGGAAUUUCCUGUGUAGCGGUGAAAUGCGUAGAUAUAGGAAGGAACACCAGUGGCGAAGGCGACCACCUGGACUGAUACUGACACUGAGGUGCGAAAGCGUGGGGAGCAAACAGGAUUAGA
RNAcentral lists this ribosomal RNA (269 nucleotides) under Escherichia coli. Its description in RNAcentral is "partial 16S ribosomal RNA". It matches the Rfam family "Bacterial small subunit ribosomal RNA", at positions 514 to 782 of the family's 1533-position model. Lineage: Bacteria; Pseudomonadati; Pseudomonadota; Gammaproteobacteria; Enterobacterales; Enterobacteriaceae. The record is from RNAcentral.